AGACGUUUGACGUCCUGGCUACAGGACACGCUGGCGGCGUGCGUUAACACAUGCAAGUCGAACGAUGAAGCCCAGCUUGCUGGGUGGAUUAGUGGCGAACGGGUGAGUAACACGUGAGUAACCUGCCCUUGACUCUGGGAUAAGCACUGGAAACGGUGUCUAAUACCGGAUAUUUCAGCUGGCCGCAUGGUCUGGUUGUGGAAAGAAUUUUGGUCAAGGAUGGACUCGCGGCCUAUCAGGUAGUUGGUGAGGUAAUGGCUCACCAAGCCUACGACGGGUAGCCGGCCUGAGAGGGUGACCGGCCACACUGGGACUGGGACACGGCCCAGACUCCUACGGGAGGCAGCAGUGGGGAAUAUUGCACAAUGGGCGAAAGCCUGAUGCAGCAACGCCGCGUGAGGGACGACGGCCUUCGGGUUGUAAACCUCUUUUAGUAGGGAAGAAGCGAAAGUGACGGUACCUGCAGAAAAAGCACCGGCUAACUACGUG
This 489-nucleotide ribosomal RNA is filed under the name uncultured Agreia sp. RNAcentral describes it as "bacterial SSU rRNA". It matches the Rfam family "Bacterial small subunit ribosomal RNA", at positions 1 to 507 of the family's 1533-position model. Lineage: Bacteria; Bacillati; Actinomycetota; Actinomycetes; Micrococcales; Microbacteriaceae. The record is from RNAcentral.